AAGAGCAAAGGGGAACUAAAUCGGAUAAAGGAAAGGAGAAAGCAAUCGAAUAGCCGAGUUGGAACCGUUCUACCCAACACAAAGUUUCCUGGACUCGACUUUUUGCGUACUCGGGACCGUCAUCAAAGUCAUCACACCGGCUAGCAACUUUUGGUAUCUUCUUUUUAGUUGGUCUAGGAGAACAUUUCGGCAUGUAUAGGCUAUUAUGUUUUGUUGAAAUUUGGUAUGUAAACUUUAGCCAUGCGAAAAUGGCAUAAUGUUCGGUUGGAUUUGGUUCUAUGAUGUUUGGACACAAGUCUUGGUAA
Gossypium arboreum is the source of this 305-nucleotide long non-coding RNA. RefSeq lists it as uncharacterized. The record is from RefSeq and is a predicted model, not a curated record. NCBI's taxonomy places the organism in Eukaryota, Viridiplantae, Streptophyta, Magnoliopsida, Malvales, Malvaceae. The transcript is spliced from 2 exons.